GUCAGAAGAUACGAAAGCCCACGAGGAAGGUAAAAUCAACCCUUCAGCGGAACCCGGGCCGGAAAAAGAAAGGGAAGAGGUCGGCGAAUCCAGUCUUCUACCACCACCCGCAGAGAAAAAAAGAAGAAUGAAAG
RNAcentral lists this long non-coding RNA (134 nucleotides) under Bos indicus x Bos taurus (hybrid cattle). RNAcentral describes it as "lncRNA (ENSBIXG00000029738.1)". Lineage: Eukaryota; Metazoa; Chordata; Mammalia; Artiodactyla; Bovidae. The record is from RNAcentral.